CUUUCCUUUAGUUUGUAAUUUCAUUGAUUCUGAAUUAAUGCAAUAACGCAAGCCGCUUGGUGCGGGACCGUCAGGAAAAAC
RNAcentral lists this transfer RNA (81 nucleotides) under Aequorivita sp. CIP111184. RNAcentral describes it as "tRNA-Gln". Lineage: Bacteria; Pseudomonadati; Bacteroidota; Flavobacteriia; Flavobacteriales; Flavobacteriaceae. The record is from RNAcentral.